UACGAACCGUCCAAACGUUAUUCGGAAUCACUGGGCUUAAAGGGUGCGUAGGCGGUCCGGUAAGUUGGGUGUGAAAUCCCACGGCUCAACCGUGGAAUAGCGCUCAAAACUGUCGGACUCGAGGAAGAUAGAGGUGCGCGGAACUUAGGGUGGAGCGGUGAAAUGCGUUGAUAUCCUAAGGAACACCGGUGGCGAAAGCGGCGCACUGGGUCUUUUCUGACGCUGAGGCACGAAAGCUAGGGGAGCGAACGGG
RNAcentral lists this ribosomal RNA (253 nucleotides) under uncultured bacterium. RNAcentral's name for it is "partial 16S ribosomal RNA". It matches the Rfam family "Bacterial small subunit ribosomal RNA", at positions 524 to 776 of the family's 1533-position model. The record is from RNAcentral.